CGAUGGCGACCGGCGCACGGGUGAGUAACACGUAUCCAACCUGCCGACAACACUGGGAUAGCCUUUCGAAAGAAAGAUUAAUACCGGAUGGCAUAGUUUUCCCGCAUGGGAUAAUUAUUAAAGAAUUUCGGUUGUCGAUGGGGAUGCGUUCCAUUAGGCAGUUGGCGGGGUAACGGCCCACCAAACCAACGAUGGAUAGGGGUUCUGAGAGGAAGGUCCCCCACAUUGGAACUGAGACACGGUCCAA
RNAcentral lists this ribosomal RNA (247 nucleotides) under uncultured bacterium. RNAcentral describes it as "partial 16S ribosomal RNA". It matches the Rfam family "Bacterial small subunit ribosomal RNA", at positions 86 to 334 of the family's 1533-position model. The record is from RNAcentral.